This is a small nuclear RNA of Hippopotamus amphibius kiboko, 104 nucleotides long. The record is from RefSeq and is a predicted model, not a curated record. Lineage: Eukaryota; Metazoa; Chordata; Mammalia; Artiodactyla; Hippopotamidae.
GUGCUCGCUUUGGCAGCACGAGUACUAAAAUUGGACCGAUACAGAGAUUAGCAUGGCCCCUGUGCAAGGAUGACACACAAAUUUGUGAAGUGUCCCAUAUAUUA